This 206-nucleotide ribosomal RNA is filed under the name uncultured bacterium. Its description in RNAcentral is "partial 16S ribosomal RNA". It matches the Rfam family "Bacterial small subunit ribosomal RNA", at positions 568 to 774 of the family's 1533-position model. The record is from RNAcentral.
CGUUGAGGCGGUUCCGUAAGUUGGGCGUUAAAGCUCCGGGCUUAACCCGGAGAGGCCGUUCAAUACUGCGGGGCUUGAGGACAGCAGAGGGAGAUGGAAUUCCCGGUGUAGCGGUGAAAUGCGUAGAUAUCGGGGGGAACACCAGUGGCGAAGGCGGUCUCCUGGGCUGUUCCUGACGCUGAAUGCGAAAGCUAGGGGAGCGAACG